Molecule: ribosomal RNA, 253 nt
Filed under: uncultured bacterium
Lineage: Bacteria
Description: partial 16S ribosomal RNA
Rfam family: Bacterial small subunit ribosomal RNA
Source: RNAcentral
UACGGAAUGUGCAAACGUUAUUCGGAAUCACUGGGCUUAAAGAGUCCGUAGGCGGCAUGUUAGGUGAGGUGUGAAAUCCCCCGGCUCAACCGAGGAAUUGCGCUUCAAACCGGCGUGCUUGAGGAAGAUAGAGGUGGGCGGAACUGAUGGUGGAGCGGUGAAAUGCGUUGAUAUCAUCAGGAACACCGGAGGCGAAAGCGGCCCACUGGGUCUCUUCUGACGCUGAGGGACGAAAGCUAGGGGAGCGAACAGG